GAUGAAGAACGUAGCGAAAUGCGAAAAGUAAUGUGAAUUGCAGAAUUCAGUGAACCAUCGAAUCUUUGAACGCACAUUGCGCCCGCUGGAACUCCGGCGGGCACGCCUGUCCGAGCGUCAUUUCAACCCUCAGGCCCCCCUUCGCGGGCGGGCCUGGUGUUGGGGCCCGGCCGCUACCCUGCGGCCGUCCCCUAAAUCCAGUGGCGGCCUCGCCGUGAUCCCUUGCGUAGUAAUGCACCUCGCACCGGAGAGCGCCGUGGCCACGCCGUAAAACCCCCAAUUUUCAAUGGUUGACCUCGGAUCAGGUGGGAAUACCCGCUGAACUUAAGCAUAUCAAUAAGCGGAGGGA
This 349-nucleotide unclassified non-coding RNA is filed under the name soil metagenome. RNAcentral describes it as "partial contains 5.8S ribosomal RNA, internal transcribed spacer 2, and large subunit ribosomal RNA". The stretch from base 1 to 120 matches the Rfam family "5.8S ribosomal RNA", at positions 35 to 154 of the family's 154-position model. The record is from RNAcentral.